Molecule: ribosomal RNA, 468 nt
Filed under: uncultured bacterium
Lineage: Bacteria
Description: partial 16S ribosomal RNA
Rfam family: Bacterial small subunit ribosomal RNA
Source: RNAcentral
GAUGAACGCUGGCGGCGUGCUUAACACAUGCAAGUCGAACGGAAAGGCCAGUGCUUGCACUGGUACUCGAGUGGCGAACGGGUGAGUAACACGUGGGUGAUCUGCCCUGCACUUCGGGAUAAGCCUGGGAAACUGGGUCUAAUACCGGAUAGGACAAUGGUUUGGAUGCCGUUGUGGAAAGUUUUUUCGGUGUGGGAUGAGCUCGCGGCCUAUCAGCUUGUUGGUGGGGUAAUGGCCUACCAAGGCGUCGACGGGUAGCCGGCCUGAGAGGGUGUACGGCCACAUUGGGACUGAGAUACGGCCCAGACUCCUACGGGGGGCAGCAGUGGGGAAUAUUGCACAAUGGGCGCAAGCCUGAUGCAGCGACGCCGCGUGGGGGAUGACGGCCUUCGGGUUGUAAACUCCUUUCGCUAGGGACGAAGCGUAUUUGUGACGGUACCUGGAGAAGAAGCACCGGCUAACUACGUG